This 369-nucleotide ribosomal RNA is filed under the name uncultured organism. Its description in RNAcentral is "bacterial SSU rRNA". It matches the Rfam family "Bacterial small subunit ribosomal RNA", at positions 526 to 896 of the family's 1533-position model. The record is from RNAcentral.
CGGAGGGUGCAAGCGUUGUCCGGUAUUUAUUGGGUUUAAAGGGUGCGUAGGUGGUUUUUUAAGUCUGGUUUGAAAGCUGGUCGCUUAACGAUCAGAUGUGGCUGGAAACUGAAGAACUUGAAUGCGUUGGCGGUAGCCGGAACGGGUCACGUAGCGGUGAAAUGCAUAGAUAUGACCCAGAACACCGAUUGCGGAGGCAGGCUACUACGACGAUAUUGACACUGAGGCACGAGAGCAUGGGUAGCGAACAGGAUUAGAUACCCUGGUAGUCCAUGCCGUAAACGAUGAUUACUGGCUGUUUGCCCGAUAGGGUGAGUGGCUGAGCGAAAGCGUUAAGUAAUCCACCUGGGGAGUACGCUGGCAACAGUG